GUUCAAAUAAUUGAACCAUCUUAUUCUCUAAAACAUGCUUCAAUUUCAUCUCAUUUUUAUAACCUCUUAAAUAUUUUGUGAUAUUCUUCCUUUCAAAUUAAUCAAUCUUAUCCACAACCAUUUGUAAUGCUUUUUUUUUUCCAUAUCCUCUUUGCCAUCUUUAACUUGUUGCUGUUGUAUGAAUAAGGCAAAUGCCUCAA
This 200-nucleotide long non-coding RNA is filed under the name Physcomitrium patens. Its description in RNAcentral is "long non-coding RNA (PPAT_LNC004879)". The record is from RNAcentral. Lineage: Eukaryota; Viridiplantae; Streptophyta; Bryopsida; Funariales; Funariaceae.